This 472-nucleotide ribosomal RNA is filed under the name uncultured bacterium. Its description in RNAcentral is "bacterial SSU rRNA". It matches the Rfam family "Bacterial small subunit ribosomal RNA", at positions 20 to 507 of the family's 1533-position model. The record is from RNAcentral.
UGGCUCAGAUUGAACGCUGGCGGCAUGCCUUACACAUGCAAGUCGAACGGCAGCACGGGUGCUUGCACCUGGUGGCGAGUGGCGAACGGGUGAGUAAUAUAUCGGGAACGUACCUUAUCGUGGGGGAUAACGCAGCGAAAGCUGCGCUAAUACCGCAUACGCCCUGAGGGGGAAAGCGGGGGACCGUAGGGCCUCGCGCGAUUAGAGCGGCCGAUAUCUGAUUAGCUUGUUGGUGGGGUAAAAGCCCACCAAGGCGACGAUCAGUAGCUGGUCUGAGAGGACGAUCAGCCACACUGGGACUGAGACACGGCCCAGACUCCUACGGGAGGCAGCAGUGGGGAAUUUUCCGCAAUGGGCGAAAGCCUGACGGAGCAAUACCGCGUGAGGGAUGAAAGCCUGUGGGUUGUAAACCUCUUUUCUCAAGGAAGAAGUUCUGACGGUACUUGAGGAAUAAGCAUCGGCUAACUCUGUG